Molecule: long non-coding RNA, 2047 nt
Organism: Erinaceus europaeus (western European hedgehog)
Lineage: Eukaryota; Metazoa; Chordata; Mammalia; Eulipotyphla; Erinaceidae
Exons: 7
Source: RefSeq, a predicted model, not a curated record
CCACAGUGCCACCCCACUGAUCUUCCAGGUGGAGCCUCCUUUCAAAAGAUCACCUGGCUGGUAACAGGAGUCAUGCUUUUAGCAGCACAGAAAUAACUAGGGAAUUGGCAGGUGUGCAAGUAGAAUGAGCAGAUUGGCACCAAACACAAUUUUCUACAGUGUGCUCAUAUUCAAGACAACACAUCCUGGUCACCCAGUCUCUGGUAGUUAUGGUGGGACAUUGCUGUUGGAGGUGAGUGAUAGAGUGGGCCUCAAGCACAGCACAGUCCAUCUGACAUUAAUUGUCUAGGUAAGUGAUGUGUCUACACACUAGUUGUAGCCACGUUUGUUUGGUUUUUUUUUUGUGUGUGUGUGUAGACAGGUGAGAAAUUUACCUUAAAAUUUCUAGCAGCUGUAUUAUCCUAUAGUGUUUCUUAUUUUAUAGAAAGUUAAUGGUUAGUCAUUUGAUUGAGUAAUUUAAAGAUAUGUGCAUAAUUAUCAUGGAAUUGUGAGUCAUACUGAUAACUUUGUUUUGUUUUUCUGUCACUGUUUUUUUUAGAUAGGGACAGAGAAAGUAGUGAGAGACCACAGCCCCAAAGCUUGCUUCAUGUGGUAUGAGUUGGGCUCAAACCCGGAUUGCACACAAGGCAAAGCAGUGCACUAACCAAAUGGCAAGGGAAAGAGAGAGGCAUGGAGAGGAGAGACAUCAAAGCACAGCUUCACUAAUUGUGAAGAUUUCGCUUAGCCUGGUGCUCCCAUGUGGUGGUGAGGGAGUAGGAUCUAGCUGGCUUGGUGUGCAUGGUAAGGUGUACACUCUACCAGGUAAGUUAUAUCCUGGCCCCCUUACCAUGAAAUAUCACAGGAUUCAACUGAGGCAAUGGUUAACCAUAUAGUCUCUUAACUGGAUGCCAGUACAAUCCUAAAUUAAAUUCUGUUGUUCAAUUCCUUGAAUAUUUUUGUAGAUGUCCACUGAAAAGAAGUAGGAAAUGGUAUUUCUCCUCAAGAUGUUAACCCAAGACUUUUGCAAAGUAUUUAGCUUCCACUCAAGAGAUUGUUGAAACCACUGUGUAUGGUACAGAAGGUAAGUUUCACUCAUAUCCACAGCAAAGAUGGUGCUGACUGCUGGGUUCUUGAGAUUCUGCAGAUGCCCAGGUGAGCAUUGAUGAUGUUCUUUAGCCAACUUACAGACCUUGUUAAUUUGCAAAUAUUCUUGCUUAAGUUGUAUUAAGCAUAAUACAUGAUCCGGGGGAUUUUGCCGACUCCCUUUUGCUCUUUGAAAAUGUUUCUGAUGCAAGUAUCUUCCUUAGAAAUGAGCAGGUUUCCUGGUGAGACUUGAAGGUAUCCCUUAUAUCAAGGUACUAGCUGUGGCAUUUUGUACUUAUUCAGUGCUCAACUUUGAAUUUUGUAUUUAUGCAGGUAAUAGUUGAUCUGGCCUUUAACCAUACUGGUUACAAGGUAAGGAGUGAUGUGCCCUUAAGCAUAUUAGUGUGGAGUUGGCAGAUAAUCCAGGUAAGAAAUCUUAUAUCCAAAACUGCAUUAUCAUCAGAUAUCUUAGGUAUUCUGGGAAGACAUUACCGUGUUUCUAAGAGCAUAAGUGACUAGAAUUUUUCAGAUAAUCAAGAAGUGAUGUUAUCUCUCUUAACAUUAGUCUUCAUGAAAAUGAAAGUUUUUUUUUUUUUUGGGUAGUAGCAUAGAUACAUAGAGUGGUACUAUUGUCCUAUAGCCGUCUUUAUGGCUUACGUUUAUGAAAUAUUGGUUAUUUAGGAAACAUCACUACAGAUAUGCUUCAUGUAAAAUACAGUACAUGUGAUCUAUAGGUGGCUGAGCAUUAUUGAGUAAUGUAUCUGUAAAUUAAUACUGCUUGUUACUUUGGAUGGUUAUGAAUUUCCUCAUUUAGUAACCAUUCUGUCUAUUAGGGUAUAAAGACAAGAAAACUAAAAGCUCCAUUUCACAUAUUUCUUGGAAUACAAGUUGAGGAAGAGAUUUCAGAGCACCUUUUCAUCACAUGCAGUGCCAGCGAUUAAGUCCGGGGCCUCAUGAAUGCAGGUCUUGCGCUCUACCUCCUGAA